ACCGCAUGGUGCAGGGGUAAAAACUCCGGUGGUACAGGAUGGACCCGCGUCUGAUUAGCUGGUUGGUGAGGUAACGGCUCACCAAGGCGACGAUCAGUAGCCGGCUUGAGAGAGUGAACGGCCACAUUGGGACUGAGACACGGCCCAAACUCCUACGGGAGGCAGCAGUGGGGAAUAUUGCACAAUGGGGGAAACCCUGAUGCAGCGACGCCGCGUGAGUGAAGAAGUAUCUCGGUAUGUAAAGCUCUAUCAGCAGGGAAGAGAAUGACGGUACCUGACUAAGAAGCCCCGGCUAACUACGUGCCAGCAGCCGCGGUAAUACGUAGGGGGCAAGCGUUAUCCGGAAUUACUGGGUGUAAAGGGUGCGUAGGUGGUAUGGCAAGUCAGAAGUGAAAACCCAGGGCUUAACUCUGGGACUGCUUUUGAAACUGUCAGACUGGAGUGCAGGAGAGGUAAGCGGAAUUCCUAGUGUAGCGGUGAAAUGCGUAGAUAUUAGGAGGAACAUCAGUGGCGAAGGCGGCUUACUGGACUGAAACUGACACUGAGGCACGAAAGCGUGGGGAGCAAACAGGAUUAGAUACCCUGGUAGUCCACGCCGUA
Molecule: ribosomal RNA, 600 nt
Filed under: uncultured bacterium
Lineage: Bacteria
Description: bacterial SSU rRNA
Rfam family: Bacterial small subunit ribosomal RNA
Source: RNAcentral